Pipra filicauda (Wire-tailed manakin) is the source of this 374-nucleotide long non-coding RNA. RefSeq lists it as uncharacterized. The record is from RefSeq and is a predicted model, not a curated record. Lineage: Eukaryota; Metazoa; Chordata; Aves; Passeriformes; Pipridae. The transcript is spliced from 3 exons.
AUUUGUGCUGCCAUCUUUGCACACCAGACAUCAGAAUAAAACCUGCAGUGAUGAUGCUGUGGAAUCUAAUUGGAUUUUAGGAACAGAAGCCAUGAUGUUUGGGCCAGCCAAUAUCUAAAAUGGAAGUCUGGAAGCAGUUCUGUCUGAUGCUGCAAAAACAGAUCUGCAAGUGUGAAAUCAGUAGGCUGCGAGGACAGUCAAGUAUAUCCACUGACUCCAAGGUCUGUAUCGCACCUGGAGGCCCUUCCGUGUGCACAGAUGGCACAGACUGCCCGGGUCCGUGCAGAGCCAGGCACCUCUCCCCACUGACAGCAUCCCCACAGCUCAGCAUCCUGGUGAAAAUCCCAAAUAUGUUUGAAAAUGGAAUUACCAAA